RNAcentral lists this unclassified non-coding RNA (225 nucleotides) under uncultured fungus. Its description in RNAcentral is "sequence contains ITS1, 5.8S rRNA gene". The stretch from base 177 to 225 matches the Rfam family "5.8S ribosomal RNA", at positions 1 to 49 of the family's 154-position model. The record is from RNAcentral. Lineage: Eukaryota; Fungi.
UCUCCGUAGGUGAACCUGCGGAGGGAUCAUUACUGAGUGAGGGCUCCGGCCCGACCUCCAACCCCAUGUGAACCGAAACCUGUUGCUUCGGGGGCGACCCUGCCUUUCGGCGCGGCGCCCCCGGAGGCUCAUCAAACACUGCAUCUGUGCGUCUGAGUAAAGAUUAAAUCAAUCAAAACUUUCAACAACGGAUCUCUUGGUUCUGGCAUCGAUGAAGAACGCAGC